This 72-nucleotide transfer RNA is filed under the name Camelus bactrianus (Bactrian camel). It matches the Rfam family "tRNA". Rfam says of the family: Transfer RNA (tRNA) molecules are approximately 80 nucleotides in length. Their secondary structure includes four short double-helical elements and three loops (D, anti-codon, and T loops). Further hydrogen bonds mediate the characteristic L-shaped molecular structure. tRNAs have two regions of fundamental functional importance: the anti-codon, which is responsible for specific mRNA codon recognition, and the 3' end, to which the tRNAs corresponding amino acid is attached (by aminoacyl-tRNA synthetases). tRNAs cope with the degeneracy of the genetic code in two manners: having more than one tRNA (with a specific anti-codon) for a particular amino acid; and 'wobble' base-pairing, i.e. permitting non-standard base-pairing at the 3rd anti-codon position. Lineage: Eukaryota; Metazoa; Chordata; Mammalia; Artiodactyla; Camelidae. The record is from Rfam by way of RNAcentral. RNAcentral also lists the same sequence under 2 other names.
GGGGGUAUAGCUUAGUGGUAGAGCAUGUGCUUAGCAAGCCCAAGGUCCCGGGUUUAAUUCCCAAGACCUCCA